This 110-nucleotide ribosomal RNA is filed under the name uncultured eukaryote. RNAcentral's name for it is "partial small subunit ribosomal RNA". It matches the Rfam family "Eukaryotic small subunit ribosomal RNA", at positions 1676 to 1785 of the family's 1831-position model. The record is from RNAcentral.
UCGCACCUACCGAUUGAUUGGUCCGGUGAAGCCUCGGGACUGUGGGUAUGUUCCUUUACUGGGACGUAUCUUCAGGAACUUGUCUAAACCUUAUCAAUUAGAGGAAGGUG